RNAcentral lists this ribosomal RNA (362 nucleotides) under uncultured bacterium. RNAcentral's name for it is "partial 16S ribosomal RNA". It matches the Rfam family "Bacterial small subunit ribosomal RNA", at positions 338 to 697 of the family's 1533-position model. The record is from RNAcentral.
CCUACGGGAGGCAGCAGUGAGGAAUAUUGGUCAAUGGACGAGAGUCUGAUCCAGCCAAGUCGCGUGAAGGAUGACUGCCCUAUGGGUUGUAAACUUCUUUUAUAUGGGAAUAAAAUGUUCCACGUGUGGGAUUUCGUAUGUACCAUAUGAAUAAGGAUCGGCCAACUCCGUGCCAGCAGCCGCGGUAAUACGGAGGGUCCGAGCGUUAUCCGGUUCUAUUGGGUUAAAGGGGAGCGUAGGGGGAUUGUUGAGUCAGGUGUGAAAGUUUGCGGCUCAACCGUAAAAUUGCAGUUGAAAGGGGCAGUCGUGAGUACAGGAGAGGUGGGCAGAAUUCGGUGUAGCGCGGUGAAAUGCAUAGAUAU